GAUGAACGCUGGCGGCGUGCUUAACACAUGCAAGUCGAACGAACGACUAUUAACAGAACCUUUCGGGGCGAAGAUGAUAGAAGUUAGUGGCGGACGGGUGCGUAACGCGUGGGUAAUCUGCCUUUGUCAAAGGAAUAACUAUUCGAAAGAAUAGCUAAAACCAUAUAACAUAUUAAUAGGGCAUCCUAAUAAUAUCAAAACGAUAGUGGACAAAGAUGAGCCCGCGUCUGAUUAGCUAGUUGGUGAGAUAAAAGCCCACCAAGGCAACGAUCAGUAGCCGACCUGAGAGGGUGAACGGCCACAUUGGAACUGAGACACGGUCCAAACUCCUACGGGAGGCAGCAGUGGGGAAUAUUGCACAAUGGGGGGAACCCUGAUGCAGCAACGCCGCGUGAGUGAAGAAGGCAUUCGUGUCGUAAAACUCUGUAGUAGGGGAAGAAAGAAAUGACAGUACCCUAAAAGAAAGCCCCGGCUAACUACGUGCCAGCAGCCGCGGUAAUACGUAGGGGGCAAGCGUUAUCCGGAAUAACUGGGCGUAAAGGGUGCGCAGGUGGUUUAACAAGUUAGUGGUGAAGGGCAUAGGCUCAACCAAUGUAAGCCAUUAAAACUGUUUAACUUGAGUGCAGGAGAGGAAAGUGGAAUUCCUAGUGUAGCGGUGAAAUGCGUAGGUAUUAGGAGGAAUACCAGUGGCGAAGGCGACUUUCUGGACUGCAACUGACACUGAGGCACGAAAGCGUGGGGGAGCAAACAGG
RNAcentral lists this ribosomal RNA (752 nucleotides) under uncultured Filifactor sp. Its description in RNAcentral is "bacterial SSU rRNA". It matches the Rfam family "Bacterial small subunit ribosomal RNA", at positions 28 to 776 of the family's 1533-position model. The record is from RNAcentral. Lineage: Bacteria; Bacillati; Bacillota; Clostridia; Peptostreptococcales; Filifactoraceae.